GUUUUGAGCGCCUCUCAAAGAUGCACGAGGGGUAGACGCGCAAGACACGGAAAACUGGCGACAACUGGUUUUGGGGGCAGGUGGGUCAAUGAGUUUAUUAUCCCAGGGUCCUCGGGUUCCUUUAACAAACAAAUAGAGCAGUCCAACUCGUCUUUGACACCGGAAACUUUUUUUGCAGCGUGAAUUCACCUGACGAUGCGAUGGAAAUAUACAAGAGUUUUCGAACAGGAAGCUGGAGUGAAGGAAAAGCGGAACCGAAGCUGGUAGACAGAAGCAGGUCUGACCUCAGGCAUGGAAAUGCUGAAAAUAGGGAAGCGGUGAAGGAGGAAGAGAUGAGAUGAUGUCGUCAGGAACCAGUACCUCCAGAGGAGGAAACCAGCAGACCUGGGAACGGCUUCACCCGCGUGCCUCGCAUAGCUUAGCGGAGGCCGCCGCCAACGUCUGUUUCAGCGAGACGGGCGGUAUGCGGUGGUGGAGUGGGAGGAGGAGGAGGAGGAAGAUAAUUUGUUGGAAGAAUGUUCUGCCACAGAUACGCUGUCGAAGAAUCCCCCCAAAAAACCAGCAAAUGAGAACUCCCCAGUAGAAAGAAGGAAAAAAAACACUGAACUGUGGGCUGUGUAAAACAGACCCCCUUCUGUUCUGCUAAGAGGCCGCAGCUGCUCAGGUGCCUGAGGUAAUGAGGGGUUUGACUGAUCCCCAGGUCGCUCGGCACACCCAAUCGGAGUGGGCCGGGAAAGCAAGCGGAGGAUCAAAGCGGAUGAACUGGGAUCAGGCAGGUGAAGGGACACCUGAGCCUGGGUCCCUGGGCUU
This is a long non-coding RNA of Anguilla anguilla (European eel), 810 nucleotides long. RefSeq lists it as uncharacterized. The record is from RefSeq and is a predicted model, not a curated record. NCBI's taxonomy places the organism in Eukaryota, Metazoa, Chordata, Actinopteri, Anguilliformes, Anguillidae. The transcript is spliced from 6 exons.